Molecule: ribosomal RNA, 771 nt
Filed under: Dictyna sp. 1 JCS-2006
Lineage: Eukaryota; Metazoa; Arthropoda; Arachnida; Araneae; Dictynidae
Description: SSU rRNA
Rfam family: Eukaryotic small subunit ribosomal RNA
Source: RNAcentral
AAAGUUAGAGGUUCGAAGGCGAUCAGAUACCGCCCUAGUUCUAACCAUAAACGAUGCCAGCUAGCGAUCCGGCUGUGUUCCUCAAAUGACACGCCGGGCAGCUUCCGGGAAACCAAAGCCUUUGGGUUCCGGGGGGAGUAUGGUUGCAAAGCUGAAACUUAAAGGAAUAGACGGAAGGGCACCACCAGGAAUGGAGCCUGCGGCUUAAUUUGACUCAACACGGGAAAACUUACCCGGCCCGGACACAGGAAGGAUUGACAGAUUAAGAGCUCUUUCUUGAUUCUGUGGGUGGUGGUGCAUGGCCGCUCUUAGUUCGUGGAGCGAUUUGUCUGGUUAAUUCCGAUAACGAACGAGACUCUAGCCUAUUAAAUAGGCGUUCCGAUCUUUAUUGUCGGACGUUCUUCUUAGAGGGAUAAACGGCGUUUAGCCGCACGAGACAGAGCAAUAGCAGGUCUGUGAUGCCCUUAGAUGUCCGGGGCCGCACGCGCGCUACAUUGAAGGAAUCAGCGUGUGCUCUCCCUGUCCGACAGGACUGGGUAACCCGUUGAAACUCCUUCGUGCUGGGGAUAGAAAAUUGCAACUUUUUUUCUUGAACGAGGAAUUCCCAGUAAGCACAAGUCAUUAGCUUGUGUUGACUACGUCCCUGGCCUUUGUACUCACCGCCCGUCGCUAUUACCGAUAGAGCGAUUUAGUGAGGUCUUCAGACUGGCGCUCCGGGCGGCCUCCGGGUCACGCACGGUGGUGCCGGAAAGAUGACCGAACUUGACCGCU